RNAcentral lists this unclassified non-coding RNA (376 nucleotides) under soil metagenome. Its description in RNAcentral is "partial contains 5.8S ribosomal RNA, internal transcribed spacer 2, and large subunit ribosomal RNA". The stretch from base 1 to 120 matches the Rfam family "5.8S ribosomal RNA", at positions 35 to 154 of the family's 154-position model. The record is from RNAcentral.
GAUGAAGAACGUAGCGAAAUGCGAUAAGUAAUGUGAAUUGCAGAAUUCAGUGAAUCAUCGAAUCUUUGAACGCAUCUUGCGCUCCUUGGUACUCUGAGGAGCAUGCCUGUUUGAGUGUCAUUAAAUUCUCAACUACACUGACUUUGAAUUGGUGUGGCUUGGAUUUGGGGGGAAAAUUGUUGUGGGCUUUUUGUAUAGUCUGCUCCCCUGAAAUUGAUUAGCGGUACCUUUGUGGAACUGUCUACAGGUGUGAUAAUUAUCUACAUCUUAGACAUCUGCUGGAAUGCUGCUUUCUAAACCUUACUUGUAUUGACAAUCUUGACCUCAAAUCAGGUAGGACUACCCGCUGAACUUAAGCAUAUCAAUAAGCGGAGGA